RNAcentral lists this ribosomal RNA (464 nucleotides) under uncultured bacterium. RNAcentral describes it as "partial 16S ribosomal RNA". It matches the Rfam family "Bacterial small subunit ribosomal RNA", at positions 28 to 506 of the family's 1533-position model. The record is from RNAcentral.
GACGAACGCUGGCGGCGUGCUUAACACAUGCAAGUCGAACGGAAAGGCCCCUUUUGGGGUACUCGAGUGGCGAACGGGUGAGUAACACGUGAGUAACCUGCCCUUGACUUCGGGAUAACUUCAGGAAACUGGGGCUAAUACCGGAUAGGAAUCCUUGCUGCAUGGUGGGGGUUGGAAAGCUUCGGCGGUUUUGGAUGGACUCGCGGCUUAUCAGCUUGUUGGUGGGGUAGUGGCUUACCAAGGCUUUGACGGGUAGCCGGCCUGAGAGGGCGACCGGCCACAUUGGGACUGAGAUACGGCCCAGACUCCUACGGGAGGCAGCAGUGGGGAAUAUUGCACAAUGGGCGGAAGCCUGAUGCAGCAACGCCGCGUGCGGGAUGACGGCCUUCGGGUUGUAAACCGCUUUCAGCAGGGGCGAAGCUUGUGGUGACGGUACCUGCAGAAGAAGCACCGGCUAACUACGU